Molecule: ribosomal RNA, 253 nt
Filed under: uncultured bacterium
Lineage: Bacteria
Description: partial 16S ribosomal RNA
Rfam family: Bacterial small subunit ribosomal RNA
Source: RNAcentral
UACAGAGGGUGCAAGCGUUAAUCGGAAUUACUGGGCGUAAAGCGUGCGUAGUCGGUUAUUUAAGUCGGAUGUGAAAUCCCCGGGCUCAACCCGGGAACUGCGUCCGAUACUGGAAGGCUUGAAUCCGGGAGAGGGAUGCGGAAUUCCAGGUGUAGCGGUGAAAUGCGUAGAUAUCUGGAGGAACACCGGUGGCGAAGGCGGCAUCCUGGACCGGCAUUGACGCUGAGGCGCGAAAGCCAGGGGAGCAAACGGG